Small nuclear RNA from Prolemur simus (greater bamboo lemur), 107 nucleotides. NCBI's taxonomy places the organism in Eukaryota, Metazoa, Chordata, Mammalia, Primates, Lemuridae. The record is from Ensembl.
GUGCUCAUUUCAGCUGCACAUAUAAUAAAAUUGGAGCAAUCCAGGGAAGAUUAGGAUGGCUCCUGCACAAGAAUGACACACAAAUUCAUGAAGCAUUCCAUAUUUUC